This 277-nucleotide long non-coding RNA is filed under the name Mytilus galloprovincialis (Mediterranean mussel). The record is from RNAcentral. Lineage: Eukaryota; Metazoa; Mollusca; Bivalvia; Mytilida; Mytilidae.
UUUAAAAAUGUCCUGUACCAAAUCAGGAAUAUGGCCAUUGUUAUAUUAUAGUUCGUUUCUGUGUGUGUUACAUUUUAACGUUGUGUUUCCGUUGUGUCGUUUGUUUUCUCUUAUUUUUGAGUGUGAAUUCACAUUACUAUAAGACAUGUCACGGUACUUAUCUAUCCCAAAUUCAUGUUUUUGGUUUUGAUGUUAUAUUUGUUAUUCUCAUAGGAUUUUGUCUAAUGCUUAGUUCGCUUAUGUGUGUGUUACAUUUUUAUGUUGUGUCGUUGUUCUC